UGGGGAAUUUUGGACAAUGGGCGAAAGCCUGAUCCAGCAAUGCCGCGUGUGUGAAGAAGGCCUUCAGGUUGUAAAGCACUUUUGUCCGGAAAGAAAUCCUUGGCUCUAAUACAGUCGGGGGAUGACGGUACCGGAAGAAUAAGCACCGGCUAACUACGUGCCAGCAGCCGCGGUAAUACGUAGGGUGCAAGCGUUAAUCGGAAUUACUGGGCGUAAAGCGUGCGCAGGCGGUUUGCUAAGACCGAUGUGAGAUCCCCGGGCUCAACCUGGGAACUGCAUUGGUGACUGGCAGGCUAGAGUAUGGCAGAGGGGGGUAGAAUUCCACGUGUAGCAGUGAAAUGCGUAGAGAUGUGGAGGAAUACCGAUGGCGAAGGCAGCCCCCUGGGCCAAUACUGACGCUCAUGCACGAAAGCGUGGGGAGCAAACAGGAUUAGAUACCCUGGUAGUCCACGCCCUAAACGAUGUCAACUAGUUGUUGGGGAUUCAUUUCCUUAGUAACGUAGCUAACGCGUGAAGUUGACCGCCUGGGGAGUACGGUCGCAAGAUUAAAACUCAAAGGAAUUGACGGGGUCAUAGCUGUUUCCU
This 585-nucleotide ribosomal RNA is filed under the name uncultured bacterium. Its description in RNAcentral is "partial 16S ribosomal RNA". It matches the Rfam family "Bacterial small subunit ribosomal RNA", at positions 355 to 1375 of the family's 1533-position model. The record is from RNAcentral.